AAGGGUAUAGCUCAGUGGUACAGUGGAUGAUUAGUAUGCAUAAGGUCCUGGGUUCAAUCCCCAGUACCUCCA
RNAcentral lists this transfer RNA (72 nucleotides) under Camelus bactrianus (Bactrian camel). It matches the Rfam family "tRNA". From Rfam's summary of the family: Transfer RNA (tRNA) molecules are approximately 80 nucleotides in length. Their secondary structure includes four short double-helical elements and three loops (D, anti-codon, and T loops). The record is from Rfam by way of RNAcentral. Lineage: Eukaryota; Metazoa; Chordata; Mammalia; Artiodactyla; Camelidae. RNAcentral also lists the same sequence under 2 other names.